AGGACGAACGCUGGCGGCGUGCUUAACACAUGCAAGUCGAACGGUAAGGCCCCUUUCGGGGGUACACGAGUGGCGAACGGGUGAGUAACACGUGAGCAACCUGCCCUUGACUUCGGAAUACCAGCUGGAAACAGCUGCUAAUACCAGAUAUGACUCCGACCGUCCUCGGUCGGGGUGGAAAGCUCCGGCGGUCAGGGAUGGGCUCGCGGCCUAUCAGCUUGUUGGUGAGGUAAUGGCUCACCAAGGCUUCGACGGGUA
This 258-nucleotide ribosomal RNA is filed under the name uncultured bacterium. RNAcentral describes it as "partial small subunit ribosomal RNA". It matches the Rfam family "Bacterial small subunit ribosomal RNA", at positions 26 to 285 of the family's 1533-position model. The record is from RNAcentral.